GGGUUCACUUCCACAGCCUCAGCUCUCCCACUAAGCAUCAAAUGGAGAACGAUCUACAGCCGAAUCGACCUCAGCUCCACUCACUCUGGGUGGUGGUGUAAGGGGUGAUGCCAGCUCCUGGCCUCGGCCACUGUCACUGCCUUUGACCCUUUUACCAUCCAAAUCAAUUGGUCUUUUUUCAGGGUUGUGUUUAAGACACCCCUUGUCUUUGCUACAGUGGUGACCCAGACACAGUUGGAGACCAUCCCCCAGUGUCUGUCCUCCCGUGUGGCUGAACAGUCCUGUGGCUGUCCCUGUCACCCCUCCUGAGUGCACUCUGAAGGAGCAUGCUUCCUUCGGGUCUAUAUUCUCUCUCAGGCUAAAGGCGGCAGUUCAGGCCUUCUGUGACCUAAGUCUGGGAGGCCAGUGGUGGCUUCGUGGAAUGAGCCCAACAAGACUCUGCCCCGCCUGACCGCUUUAAUAGACGCCUGCAUUUCGCACAUUCAGAUUAUAUCAUUAGGACAGGACAUGAGAAGGGGCUCUGGAGAGAAUCUUGGCCUGCAGAGCCCUGGCCACCUUCUGUGACAGACCACCGGGUCUGGCCCCAGGCGUAGUAGUCAGCCCCCACCACCAAGCUGCAGCUAUCAGCAGGACCAUUCCAACUGAAGGCACACCCUGUCCUGGAGGCCUAAAGAAUGGCAGAUGCCUGGCAGAAGUCCUAACUGGUGUGCUUGUAGGAAUACCCCGUGUGGUGGCACACCCUUUUGAGGGAAUCCUAUACAAAACCAUUUCUUGGUCCCUCUCUGUAUGAAACUCUCUUUCUUGGGACACCCCCCAACUCUGCAGGACACACGGCCAUUCACUCAGAACACAAGUCCACCAGAUACAGGGACUCAGUAGGCAGGCUGCCGAAAAGCUUCCAUGUGAUGUGCAGUACCAAUGCAAGGGACUGAGGAUCAGGGAUCAGGGAGGUGGCGGGGAUGUGGCACAGCCUUGGGAGAAGAUGCGACCACAGAAGACAAAGGUGUCAAGUCUGGAUCCUGGCUGGGUACACAGCCCACUAAAAGCCAGUGCCUUAUCCUUGCCCCCAAGAUGACCUUAACUAACAGCGAGCCUGGUGGUGAGGCUCUGGACUGGCACUGCUUGUAGCAGCAAUGAGAAGCCAGGCAUGGCAGGGAGACUCUGUAGUGACUUAGCCAGUGUCCCCUUGGGGGAGGAGAAACCAGUGCUUUCCUAGAACCUGUAGCCAGGUGUAGUAGUUUGAAUAAAAAUGGCUACCAUAGACUCACAGGGAGUGGCAUUAUUGGAAGUUGUGGCCUUGUGUGUCACAGGAGGGUGGACUUUGAGGUUUCAGAAGCUCAAGCCAGGCCCAAUGGCUCCCUCUCUUCCUGCGAUCCACCAAUCCGAAUGUAGAAUGCUCAACUGCCUCUCCAGCACCACAUCUGCUUGUCUGCUACCAUGCUUCUCACCAUGAUGACAACAGACUAAACCUCAGGACUGUAAGCCAGCCCCAGUUAAGUGCUUUCCUGUAGAGUUGAUGCAGUCAUGGUGUCUCUUCAUGGCAGCAGAAACUCUAACAAGACACUAGACAUGGCAAAGCCAAACCUAGAAAGGCCAGCUGCCCACAGGAGAGCAAGAGGCAGACAUUGGGCAAGGAGAGUAGCCUGGGGGCGGAUUCCUGUGCUGUGUGAGGGAUGAGGGAGGAGUCCAGAACAUUCUACCUGUAUGGAGGGUCUGGAUACAGAGCCUUGGAAAGAAAAGUGACUUGUUGGUGGGAGGUGGCCGGCAGGUGGGUGGUGUGCCUAACAACCAUCUAAAGUGAGCAGGGCCAUGUAUCAAGGAGUGAGCAGCCCAGGCAGGUGUGCACACUGGCAUUCCUACCAGAGACGCUGUACAGGCCCAGAUGUGGUCCAGCGCAUUUCCUCACCAGACCCCAGCACCAGCCACAUCCUUGGUCUCUGUGAUCUCAUAGCCACACCCAGCUCAGCCUGGAACCCUGGACCUGGCUGGAGGCUCCCAUGUUGCUCUGUGUGAACUCUUUUCCUGGAAUCUGCUGGCCUGUGUCUGAUUGUGCCCCUGGGACACAAUGUCCCCCAUCGUCCUCUUGGAUUCAGCCUUUCUCCUGAGCUCUGUGGCUAAAAAGGACACACAGGUGGCCCCCCUCUUUCCAAGCUGUGAGGCCAUCCCAGGAGUCCCUGGAGGAGGCCAGCUGGAAAGCACCCGGACUGGGGGUAGGGGAGGCAGCGACGUCUCGUCAGCCAAAUGGGUUCGAUUCCAUUGACUGAUUCUAUCUGAAUGGUCAUUAAUGUGAUUUAUUUGGCUGUUUCAGAUUCUUCACUCCCAAAUUUGUCACCAACCCUCUUGGUAUUGACUGGAAGAGAACAGUCCUAGUACAGAAUGGAGUGGGAACAGGGCUCUCUAGCUCGGCUCCUCACCUUCCCCUCCCCCCGCCCGUUCUUUACUCUCAGAGCGACUGGACUGGAAAGCGCAGGAAAACAGAGGAAGGGGCCGUGCCUAACCCCCAGCCUUUCCACCCAGCUCUUACUUUAGAAGACAAGUUCUCUCCUCCCUCAACCCCAGCCGUGCCCUGGCCACCCCAGGGGAAGCCAACGCUGAACUUUCCUGACAGCAGCGGACACUUACAGAGGCCACUGUGGAACAGAGUUCAUUUCCAACAUCCUGGCAUUAGAGACUCAGGAUACCAAGCUCCCAGCUGCUGCUCCAGUGCCCUGCCUGGUGCCCUGCUCCCUGCCAUGUUUGUUGAUGGACUCCUAUCCCUCUUAAACUCUAAGCCCCGAAUAAAUCCUUCUGUUAAG
RNAcentral lists this long non-coding RNA (2795 nucleotides) under Mus musculus (house mouse). Its description in RNAcentral is "long non-coding RNA chr8:122826085-122828880". The record is from RNAcentral. Lineage: Eukaryota; Metazoa; Chordata; Mammalia; Rodentia; Muridae.